UUAUUGUGUGGAUGCCCUAAAGGGCUUCCACACAAUUGUUUUCCUGUUUCUCUUUAUUCUUUAUUGUGUGGAUGCCCUCAAGGGCUUCCACACUAUUGA
RNAcentral lists this microRNA precursor (99 nucleotides) under Oreochromis niloticus (Nile tilapia). Its description in RNAcentral is "microRNA oni-mir-10603b precursor". The record is from miRBase by way of RNAcentral. Lineage: Eukaryota; Metazoa; Chordata; Actinopteri; Cichliformes; Cichlidae.